GGCGCCGUCGAUCCCGGCCAUGGCCCGCCCCCACGCCCCAGCCUCGCGGAAUCAAGCCCGGCCCCUCCGUCCGCGACCUCCUUAUCCCUCCACGGCCAUGGCCUCGGCCUCCCUUCCCCGACCGCCAAGACGCCGGCGCGGAGGCUACUCUCCGCCACCGUCAGGGCCAUGGCGCCGGCCAGCCCCAGCAAAGGUACUGCACAGUCGCGGCGGCGGACGGCAAGUUCAUGCCGGUCAUCGACAGAAAGGCCGGCUACUCCUUCGUCUGCCCAUUCGGAUGGCAGGAGGUGUCUGUGCAAGGGCAGGACAAGGUGUACGAGGACGUGAUCGAGCCGCUAGAGAGCGUCAGCAUCAACAUGACCCCCGCCACUAAGGAAGACAUCCGCAACCUCAGCCCGCCUGACCCCGCCGUCCGCGAGUGGACCUCAAGACUGCUGUGUACCACGCCGAUGACGUCCUCGACGACUUCCGCCAACCCAGAUUCGCCGCCGCUGCUCCACUGCUCGCAAGGUUCAUCCUACCUUCUCUUCCCACUCCGGCUGGCUCCGUUUGAGAGCUCUGUAAAUUCCUAUGCACUAAAAAUACACUGUAUAUAAGUGAAUACAUUUCUGC
This 612-nucleotide ribosomal RNA is filed under the name Triticum aestivum (bread wheat). RNAcentral's name for it is "partial small subunit ribosomal RNA". Lineage: Eukaryota; Viridiplantae; Streptophyta; Magnoliopsida; Poales; Poaceae. The record is from RNAcentral.